This 253-nucleotide ribosomal RNA is filed under the name uncultured bacterium. RNAcentral's name for it is "partial 16S ribosomal RNA". It matches the Rfam family "Bacterial small subunit ribosomal RNA", at positions 524 to 776 of the family's 1533-position model. The record is from RNAcentral.
UACGUAGGGUGCGAGCGUUAAUCGGAAUUACUGGGCGUAAAGCGUGCGUAGGCGGCUUUGUAAGUCAGGUGUGAAAUCUCCGGGCUUAACCUGGGAAUGGCAUUUGGGACUGCAAGGCUGGAGUGUGGCAGAGGAGACUGGAAUUUACGGUGUAGCAGUGAAAUGCGUAGAGAUCGUAAGGAAGACCAGUGGCGAAGGCGGGUCUCUGGACAGUUCCUGACACUGAGGCACGAAGGCCAGGGGAGCAAACGGG